Ceratina calcarata is the source of this 228-nucleotide long non-coding RNA. RefSeq lists it as uncharacterized. The transcript has 2 exons. The record is from RefSeq and is a predicted model, not a curated record. NCBI's taxonomy places the organism in Eukaryota, Metazoa, Arthropoda, Insecta, Hymenoptera, Apidae.
UCACGCGCCACGCGUAUAAGUACCGGUCCUCGGGCCAGGGACGAACAGAGUCGAUUCUCGAGGACUUUAAGUCUACAACGAUUAUCACGCUGAAAACCCGUAGCCUGAACAAAGCUCACGACGACCGACCGACAACGGCAACCCGGACCCCGCGCCCGAAGCAGCGCCACGGGACCGGCCUGUACCUUUAGAUUUAAGUGUUAGUUGAAUAAAUUAUAUUUUACCAGA